Molecule: transfer-messenger RNA, 367 nt
Filed under: Litorihabitans aurantiacus
Lineage: Bacteria; Bacillati; Actinomycetota; Actinomycetes; Micrococcales; Beutenbergiaceae
Rfam family: transfer-messenger RNA
About the family: Bacterial tmRNA, also known as 10Sa RNA or SsrA, is named for its dual tRNA and mRNA-like properties.
Source: RNAcentral
GGGGGUGAACGGUUUCGACGACGGCCGUUCAACCAGGGGAAGCGAGUCGAGGACGCACGGUCAUCUCGUCAACGAUCCGUGCAAACCCAUAGGUGCCGAUUCCAAGCGCACCGACUUCGCCCUCGCCGCCUGAGCGAGCGUAGAAGUCCGUCGGUCCCGGGGUGCUCUCGACCGGGUUGCCGGCGUCACCAAGAGAGCCACUGCUCGUAGCCUUCGUCAACGGGGCUGCGGGGACUUCUAGUUGACUGGGCUCGUCGGUCGGUUGUCAGCGACACGACCGGAGCCGAGCAGAACAGCAGCUGACUGCACUCGGAGAAGCCCUGGUUCCACACCGUCGGACGCGGGUUCGAUUCCCGCCACCUCCACC